Molecule: long non-coding RNA, 2499 nt
Filed under: Lactuca sativa (garden lettuce)
Lineage: Eukaryota; Viridiplantae; Streptophyta; Magnoliopsida; Asterales; Asteraceae
Description: long non-coding RNA (LSAT_LNC001802)
Source: RNAcentral
AGUCCCUGAUUUCCAUAUUCUGUCAGAUUUGCAUUUACAUACCUCUCAUUUCCACUAUCCACAAGAUCCAUUGGAAUUAGAAAUCAGAAGUAAGAAAGUAGCAACCAGAAAUCAAAAACCGAAAAUGAGAAGUAGCAACUAGAAACCAGAUUAUUAAGUAGCAAUAGUAAAUAACAAAUUGUAACGCCCGUGUUUCCAGGAUAAGCAUUAUCAUUGAUGUAAUAGUCUAGGUUAACCUUUGUAACCCGUUUUCAAAUAAUAAAGGUGUAUUAUUUGAGUAUUAUGUGUUUUGUGCUUAAUUGCUUAAUUAUGUGGUUUGAUUAAUUAAGAAUAAAAAUAAGCGUCAUAAUUUAAGUGUAAAAUAAACUUGAUAUCUUUGGAUAAUGUUAUAGUAGUUGAAACGAGGUUUCCGAAUAUAUAGAGAACGCCCAAAUCUGACUCCGUAUGAGGAAGUUAUGAUUUUCUGAAGUUUCGACUUAGCGGUAUGCAGCCCGAAAUACUCGAUUUGAGACCGAGUGGUUUUUAGCCGAAACAAUCUAAAUGAGAAUUGAAGAUCUCAUUAAUUGUAGUAAAACGAUAAAAAGUUAGGCGAGAACGGACGUCAAAUGAAGAAGUUAUGAAUUUAUAACGAAGUUUUCCUCUCCGGGCCUACUAAAAAUAAAUAAUAAAAAAUAAAGUCAAAAUUAGCCGACGAAGUCUAAACGAAAGUUGUAGAGCGUAGUCUCACCUACGCGUGGAUAUAAAGAACGUCGAAAACGGAGUUCGUAUGAAGAAGAUAUGAAUUUCCGAAGUUUAUUAAAUAAUUUGUAUUUAAAUUUAAUCUUUAAUUCGGAUGUAUAUCCAAAGGAGUCACCGAUCUGAUCCGAAGUACGCCCAGCGUACCGCGAAGCAUGACGCGCCUCGCACUCGAGUUCUUCCGAUGAUGCAUGCAGUGACGAAUUCGGACGCGUACGCCCCGCGUAAGGCAGUACGCCCAGUGUACUGCGAGGCCUCAGCCUCCUAUAAAUAGGAUGCGAGGGUUCCGGGUAUUUUUGCUCAUUUCUUCUCCUUUUUGUGUCGAAGCUCUACGCAUAAACCCCCAAAGCCAUCCCGACACCCCGGAUCUCAUAUCCAAGUUAAGAAGGAAGUUUUACGCUCCCGAGAUCCCGAGAAGUGUGAUUCCCGAGCCGAAGCUCUGCCCGCGAGGAGUUCGAUUUUUGUGGAGAUCUUCCAGAUCUGCCGAAGAAUACUACUUCUAUAAGCCGUAGUGCUGUCCGAUCAUCUUCUGAUCAAGUGAGUGUGUAGUUACUUUCUUCUAACGCAUAAUUAUGAAGUAUUUUAUACGAAAUACGUGUUAUGUGUAUAUUUUGUUGUUAUGUGUGUGAAUGUAUAUUCACUUUCUUCUAUCUUAUAGAUCUGAUUAUUUCUCUAUGAAAUACGUGUUAUGUGUGUGUGCCUCAUCUGUUAUGUGGAAAAUGUAUUGAUUGAGCAUGCUAUACAGGUUUUGAAACUAUGUAUAAAAAUGUAUAUUUUAUCUACUAAUAUGUUGGGUAGAACAUGGGUAGAUAGUUGGUGUGUAAUAAACAGAUGAGAGGCCUCGUUGUUGUUUGAUUUAGUCAUCUAGCGGAGUUUAGAUGACGACCACUGGCUAUUCUAGACAGUCUUGUGGAAACAUUAGCAGGUUCGCCACCUGUAGGUGUUAAUGAACUUGGGUGUUCAUUCGCUGUACUCCAUCCCCCUCAUGGUUGCCUUAUUUGACUUAUAUUGCUGAGGUACCCCCGAAGCAUGUGUUGUCGCCCCGAUGAAAUAUUCUUAGACUAGGUCCCUUAUGUUAGUUGUCUUAGGGACGUAAAGUGAGAAUGACGGGAAUGGGUAAUUGGGUUCUUGUUGGUUGGUGGAAAUUAAAUAUAAUUAUUUAUUGUGGGUUGAAAACCCUAUAUGCUCACCAGGCUCCUAAGCCUGACCCACUCAGUUUAUUUGUAUUACAGGAAGUGGCGCAAGGGCAUAAGAUGGAUGAACCAUCAAGUUGUUUUGUUUACAAGUCUGUAUAUGUAUAUAUUUGUUGAAUGACUUGUAAUGUUAUCGUUUAUGCUUUAUGGUCUGUAUCGGAACAUGACAUCCCGAGUUUUGAUUAUAUAAUGAAAAUACAUUUCUUUUAUGAAAUGCUUUGGUAAACAUUGUUUUAUCACAUUUUGUUUUUGGGAACAAAUUCUGCAACUCUUUCAAAUCAAAAGGAUUUACUCUGAAAUUAUUUUAAAAGCAUAAAUGAAAAUCGGUCUUUUCUGGCCGAGAUUUUGGGGAUGUCACACAAAUGAGAAGUAUAGAUUACCACAGGUGGAGCGUGGAUAUGAAAUUAGGUCGUCGUUUGUGAAGAUGAAAUCAGGUCGUCGAUUCAGUGAAGCAACAUCGGCAGGAAGAAGUCGUUCGUUGACCUCGUUUCAGUUCGAAGUGAUCAAUGGAUUCGAUCGAAAGAUCGUUUCUAGAUCUAAUGAAUUGAUAGAACAACGAAGGUAGGAUUUG